Molecule: ribosomal RNA, 463 nt
Filed under: uncultured Verrucomicrobiota bacterium
Lineage: Bacteria; Pseudomonadati; Verrucomicrobiota
Description: bacterial SSU rRNA
Rfam family: Bacterial small subunit ribosomal RNA
Source: RNAcentral
GGCGGCGUGGAUAAGACAUGCAAGUCGGACGGGACUUUUCGUUGUAGCAAUACAGUGGAAAGUUCAGUGGCGAACGGGUGCGUAACACGUGGGCAAUUUGCCUUAAAGUGUGGGAUAGCUCGGCGAAAGCCGGAUUAAUACCGCAUGUGGCUACUGGAGACAUCUUCGGGACGCUAAAGGUGGCGCAAGCUACCGCUUUUUGAGGAGCCCGCGGCCUAUCAGCUUGUUGGUGAGGUAACGGCUCACCAAGGCGUUGACGGGUAGCUGGUCUGAGAGGACGACCAGCCACACUGGGACUGAGACACGGCCCAGACACCUACGGGUGGCAGCAGUCGAGAAUUUUUGACAAUGGGGGAAACCCUGAUCGAGCGACGCCGCGUGGAGGAUGAAGGUCUUCGGGUUGUAAACUCCUGUCAUUUGGGAACAAGGCGCGUGUNUUAACUGUGCACGCGUUGAUAGUACC